This 1091-nucleotide long non-coding RNA is filed under the name Equus asinus (donkey). RNAcentral's name for it is "lncRNA (ENSEASG00005035714.1)". Lineage: Eukaryota; Metazoa; Chordata; Mammalia; Perissodactyla; Equidae. The record is from RNAcentral.
CUGAUCGGUCAAGAAUCCUGCUGGAUGAAAGAAAGAGACGCUUAGAAGUGACCAGAGAGGUGGUCUGGCCAAACCCUCAUUUGAUGAGGAACCUGAGGCACAGGGAGGCAACAGACUGGCCUGUAGUUUCAUUGCUAACUGACAGCAGAUCAGGAGACAAGGUCUUUUGCACAUGUCCCAUCACCCCUGGCAUAUCAGAUAUGUGGUGUGUAUGCUACUAUUCAGCUGCCUUCCUGGACCAAGGCAGAGUUUUCUCCAUCAUUCAUCAAACAGACUCUAGGCCCCGACUAAUCAGUUGGAUUUGGCCUAUGGGAUGAAACAAUUAGCCAUCCAUGCACAACAUCGUGCUUACUGCCUCCCAAGGAAUCUCUAGUCCCCAAGAGUAUGUAUUUGCACACUGAAAGGCCCAGAGAGGGCAUUCAUGGCAGCUUGAGCCCCUUGGCACCAUGCAAGGAACAGGGCAUCCAAACUGCUUCUGGAGAGCUCUUUGGAAAUGUCUUCUUUUUUACUUCUAGUUGUUUAGUGUCUUAUUUAUUUAUUCUUGCGUGACCUUGUUUGAAAUCUCAAAAGUGAUGAUAAAGCAAAAAAAAUAUCCUUAAGGUUAGGUGGCUGAGACCAUUUGCUCUGGACCACUGCUGUUAGCUGUGCCUCCUGUUGACUGGCUUUGCUGUGUUGGGCCUGAAGCUCCAGCAGGUGGCUAGACUGCUGGCCUAUUCCCAACAAACUAUUUUGAGCUUUGAGGUGGGAGUUUGGGUUGUUGGACCCUAUCUCUGGUAAAGGUUUCUCUGUGGCUCUGUAUGUUCUCAGGCCCUGGGGGAGGCCAGCCUCCCCAAUAACUCUUCGUUAUUAUGGAGCUGAUUUUCUAGUUUGUGGAUCAGCCAUGCCUUUGGACACUCCUCUUUUCCAUUGUGCCUUUUGAUUGUUGGCUUCUCCUCUACAUCAGCACAGCACUUCCCCCUAAAUGCAGAUUAGGGAGUUGGAAAAAGGAACUAGAGUGAAACACUUAUUCAUUCAGUCAUUCAGUCAUCUAUCAAACAUGGCUUUGAACAUCAAGGUUGCAGAGAUCAAGCAUACAUGGAUUCCAUCUUUGA